RNAcentral lists this small nuclear RNA (140 nucleotides) under Cebus imitator (Panamanian white-faced capuchin). Its description in RNAcentral is "U4 spliceosomal RNA (ENSCCAG00000011087.1)". It matches the Rfam family "U4 spliceosomal RNA". From Rfam's summary of the family: U4 small nuclear RNA (U4 snRNA) is a component of the major U2-dependent spliceosome. The structure of U4 snRNA from yeast and human has been reported. The record is from Rfam by way of RNAcentral. Lineage: Eukaryota; Metazoa; Chordata; Mammalia; Primates; Cebidae.
AGCUUUGCGCAGUGGCAGUAUCGUAGCCAAUGAGUUUAUCCAAGUCAUGAUUAUUGCUAAUUGAAAACUUUUACCAAUACCCCACCGUGAGGACUUGGAAUGUAGUUGCCACUGGCAAUUUUUGACAGUCUCUAUGGAGA